GCCUAAUACAUGCAAGUCGAACGCUUUUUCUUUCACCGGGAGCUUGCUCCACCGAAAGAAAAAGAGUGGCGAACGGGUGAGUAACACGUGGGUAACCUGCCCAUCAGAAGGGGAUAACACUUGGAAACAGGUGCUAAUACCGUAUAACACUAUUUUCCGCAUGGAAGAAAGUUGAAAGGCGCUUUUGCGUCACUGAUGGAUGGACCCGCGGUGCAUUAGCUAGUUGGUGAGGUAACGGCUCACCAAGGCAACGAUGCAUAGCCGACCUGAGAGGGUGAUCGGCCACACUGGGACUGAGACACGGCCCAGACUCCUACGGGAGGCAGCAGUAGGGAAUCUUCGGCAAUGGACGAAAGUCUGACCGAGCAACGCCGCGUGAGUGAAGAAGGUUUUCGGAUCGUAAAACUCUGUUGUUAGAGAAGAACAAGGAUGAGAGUAAAAUGUUCAUCCCUUGACGGUAUCUAACCAGAAAGCCACGGCUAACUACGUGCCAGCAGCCGCGGUAAUACGUAGGUGGCAAGCGUUGUCCGGAUUUAUUGGGCGUAAAGCGAGCGCAGGCGGUUUCUUAAGUCUGAUGUGAAAGCCCCCGGCUCAACCGGGGAGGGUCAUUGGAAACUGGGAGACUUGAGUGCAGAAGAGGAGAGUGGAAUUCCAUGUGUAGCGGUGAAAUGCGUAGAUAUAUGGAGGAACACCAGUGGCGAA
Molecule: ribosomal RNA, 702 nt
Filed under: uncultured Bacilli bacterium
Lineage: Bacteria; Bacillati; Bacillota; Bacilli
Description: bacterial SSU rRNA
Rfam family: Bacterial small subunit ribosomal RNA
Source: RNAcentral